Macaca fascicularis (crab-eating macaque) is the source of this 148-nucleotide unclassified non-coding RNA. It matches the Rfam family "Metazoan signal recognition particle RNA". Rfam says of the family: The signal recognition particle (SRP) is a universally conserved ribonucleoprotein. NCBI's taxonomy places the organism in Eukaryota, Metazoa, Chordata, Mammalia, Primates, Cercopithecidae. The record is from Ensembl.
GCCGGGGGUGGUGGCUCACACCUGUAAUCCCAGCUACUCAGGAGGCUGAGGCAGGAGAAUUGCUUGAACCCAGGAGGCGGAGGUUGCAGUGAGCCGAGAUCGUGCCACUGCACCCCAGCCUGGGCGACAGAGCGAGACUCUGUCUCAA